CAACAGGAGUUAUUAUCUAUGAAAAAAGUACAACAGGAAUGUAAAAAACUUGAGGAGGAUAAAAAUGUUGGAAGAAGGAAUAUUAAAUCUUAAGAAACAGAUGGGAAGUACACAUUGGUGAAGAGACAUUGGUGAAAUACAAAAAUAUAAAUCAGAUCUAGAAGAAAGGGCAAUGCAGGCAAUAGAAAAAUUAGUAGAAAUCCCUUUACAGAGUAAUGAUUCUCACUGUGGAGUCAUUUGAUUAUUAAGACCCAUUGGCAUAAGAUUACAUCCUCUGACUACAAAAAUCCUGGAAGAAAACCUAGGAAAUAUUCUUCUGGACAUUGCACUUGGCAAUGAAUUUAUGGAUACUCAGUGGUGGAGUUACUGGAUCAGACAGAGCCAAUUGAUGAUCAGUAAUUGUGGCCAAUAAUCAGCUAGAAAUAAAGUACUUAGCAGGGCCUGAAAACGCCAAAACUCUGAGACCACUGACUUUCAAAAAC
This 482-nucleotide long non-coding RNA is filed under the name Papio anubis (olive baboon). RNAcentral's name for it is "lncRNA (ENSPANG00000045128.1)". Lineage: Eukaryota; Metazoa; Chordata; Mammalia; Primates; Cercopithecidae. The record is from RNAcentral.